This 694-nucleotide ribosomal RNA is filed under the name uncultured bacterium. RNAcentral's name for it is "bacterial SSU rRNA". It matches the Rfam family "Bacterial small subunit ribosomal RNA", at positions 32 to 715 of the family's 1533-position model. The record is from RNAcentral.
AACGCUAGCUACAGGCUUAACACAUGCAAGUCGAGGGGCAGCAUGGUCUUAGCUUGCUAAGGCCGAUGGCGACCGGCGCACGGGUGAGUAACACGUAUCCAACCUGCCGUCUACUCUUGGACAGCCUUCUGAAAGGAAGAUUAAUACAAGAUGGCAUCAUGAGUUCGCAUGUUCACAUGAUUAAAGGUAUUCCGGUAAACGAUGGGGAUGCGUUCCAUUAGAUAGUAGGCGGGGUAACGGCCCACCUAGUCUUCGAUGGAUAGGGGUUCUGAGAGGAAGGUCCCCCACAUUGGAACUGAGACACGGUCCAAACUCCUACGGGAGGCAGCAGUGAGGAAUAUUGGUCAAUGGGCGCAGGCCUGAACCAGCCAAGUAGCGUGAAGGAUGACUGCCCUAUGGGUUGUAAACUUCUUUUAUAAAGGAAUAAAGUUAGCCACGUGUGGUUAUUUGUAGGUACUGUAUGAAUAAGGACCGGCUAAUUCCGUGCCAGCAGCCGCGGUAAUACGGAAGGUCCAGGCGUUAUCCGGAUUUAUUGGGUUUAAAGGGAGCGUAGGCCGUCUGUUAAGCGUGUUGUGAAAUGUAGAUGCUCAACAUCUGAAUUGCAGCGCGAACUGGCAGACUUGAGUGUGCGCAACGUAGGCGGAAUUCGUGGUGUAGCGGUGAAAUGCUUAGAUAUCACGAAGAACUCCGAUUG